CGGCCGGGUCCCCUUCUCCUGGGAGCCUGGGCGUGGUCUCCCGUGUCCGGAGCUGCGUCCUUCCUUGCGCUCCACGAAGGUGCCUAAAGCGGCGCCGCGCGUUCAUGAAGAAGUUGCUGACGGUGUUGAGCUCCAAGCCGAGCUGCUGCGAGAUGGUGACCUGCAUCUCCUUGGACGGCCGCUUGUUCUCCUUGAAGAUGGCGAUCAGCGUGCGUCGCUGCAGGCUGAGACCACCCAGACUUGGCCUCCCUCGAGCACCCAGUGGACCCUCUGGAGCGCAGAACAUCUAAGAAAGAAGACUUUGGAGGAGGAGGGGAGAGUGCAGGGACCACCUCUUCCUCUCCCAGAUGAGCAGACUGGGACUGUGGUGCUGAAGAGGCUGUCCUGCCCUUGUCUCCAUCCCGGAGUUCCAGCUACUCUGUGACCCCCAGAAGUGGCCGGUGGUGCAGGUAGUACUAGUGGGUCUCUGCUCCCAGUCUCUUCUCUGUGCCAGCCGUCGUGGCCUACUGGAAUGGCACAGAGAGCUUUUCUUUUCGUUGCAGAACAGCCUGGAACAUGACAUGCUAGAUCAAUGUCCAUACACGUCCACAGAAAUAAAUGAAUGUUCCUUCUGCCAUGACUCAUGUCUCGGGGACAACAGCAAAAAGAGGCUCUGCUGCCCCCCUUCCCGGCGUUCAAUCUAAUUACAGCUCCUCACAGCCCAGAUCGAUCCAGUCGGAGCUGUUUACCGCGAGCAGCUUUGUCAUUGCUCCCAUCCCCCACAGCCGCUGACAGAGGAUGCCCACUCCAUGCAGCCAGCCCUGCACCUCCUCCAGGACCCUGGGGACUGAGGCCCUGAUUCCAGGAGCAAUCACCCCCGAGAGGCUCUGAUCUGAGGACUCCAGGUUCCUGGUUUAUCAAGUGGACGCAGUGACCCAGAGCCCUGUGUCCCCACCGGGCCGCAGUCCCGAGAGUCACGAAGGAAUGAACGCCGAAGCACGGACCUGCAACCGACUCAUCCAUUCACCAUUCAGGGAGCAGCUGCUGCGUGAGGCCAGAGAGAGGCAGCUCCAGGAGCUGGCCUCCACUCACAGUCACAGGACAGCGUGAAGCGGCGGCUGCCUGGGACUCUGUUCCCCAAUGAGGAGGCCAGCUCCGCUCUGAGUCCAGGAAAGGGGGAGAGAGGACGCCUUUGGGUGGGUACUGGAGGGGAGGCGCGGGCUCCACUGGGCUCUCUGAGGCCUUCGAGUGGAUACACUGCUGGCUGGGAGGGAGGAUGGACCAGAAGACCAGGCCCAGGCUUCGGGACAGCUGGAGGGAAGGUCCCUGAAUCCCAGUGGACGCCAGCAGUGCUGGGGGCGGCACGGCAGGAGAGACACAAGCCAGGGUGGCACCAGGACGGGAGGGAUGUGGAGGCUCCUGGGGGGUCCCCAAGGUCCAGGGAGGAGAUCAAAGAGCAACUAGAGGAGAUGGAGACCAGCUGGGCAAUGCCCAAGGGAGAAGAAGACGCCCCAGGAUGCAGCAAUGGGCGAUUCAAGUGACCAUCCCAUGUCCCUCUGUGCCCGACAGUCUGUACAGUGCCCCAAACCACCAAGCCACGUGAGUCUACCCCGCUGUGUGCCCGUCCUCCCUGUGUCCUGGAGCUGGAGAUCCCCUCCCUCAGCCACCUCUGGCUUCAGGGAGCAGACAAUUCAAUAUGGAGCCCGGUCUCCGGCUGGGAUGAUGACCGGUUUCCUUGGCGACGCGUCCUGUCCCCGCCACCAGCUGCCCUGCCCCAGAUGUGGGUUGUACUGAUGCCCCCCACCCCCAUGCUGGUGUCUUGUCCCC
RNAcentral lists this long non-coding RNA (1806 nucleotides) under Homo sapiens (human). RNAcentral describes it as "HSALNT0395600". The record is from RNAcentral. Lineage: Eukaryota; Metazoa; Chordata; Mammalia; Primates; Hominidae.